RNAcentral lists this ribosomal RNA (253 nucleotides) under uncultured bacterium. Its description in RNAcentral is "partial 16S ribosomal RNA". It matches the Rfam family "Bacterial small subunit ribosomal RNA", at positions 524 to 776 of the family's 1533-position model. The record is from RNAcentral.
UACGGGGGGGGCAAGCGUUGUUCGGAAUUACUGGGCGUAAAGGGCUCGUAGGUGGCCAACUAAGUCAGACGUGAAAUCCCUCGGCUUAACCGGGGAACUGCGUCUGAUACUGGAUGGCUUGAGUUUGGGAGAGGGAUGCGGAAUUCCAGGUGUAGCGGUGAAAUGCGUAGAUAUCUGGAGGAACACCGGUGGCGAAGGCGGCAUCCUGGACCGAUACUGACGCUGAGGCACGAAGGUCAGGGGAGCAAACGGG